This 905-nucleotide ribosomal RNA is filed under the name Sanguinoderma sp. RNAcentral's name for it is "partial large subunit ribosomal RNA". It matches the Rfam family "Eukaryotic large subunit ribosomal RNA", at positions 52 to 953 of the family's 3401-position model. Lineage: Eukaryota; Fungi; Basidiomycota; Agaricomycetes; Polyporales; Polyporaceae. The record is from RNAcentral.
GGUGUACUAACAGGAUUCCCCUAGUAACUGCGAGUGAAGCGGGAAAAGCUCAAAUUUAAAAUCUGGCGGUCUUUGGCCGUCCGAGUUGUAGUCUGGAGAAGUGCUUUCCGCGCUGGACCGUGUAUAAGUCUCUUGGAACAGAGCGUCAUAGAGGGUGAGAAUCCCGUCUUUGACACGGACUACCAGUGCUUUGUGAUGCGCUCUCAAAGAGUCGAGUUGUUUGGGAAUGCAGCUCAAAAUGGGUGGUGAAUUCCAUCUAAAGCUAAAUAUUGGCGAGAGACCGAUAGCGAACAAGUACCGUGAGGGAAAGAUGAAAAGCACUUUGGAAAGAGAGUUAAACAGUACGUGAAAUUGCUGAAAGGGAAACGCUUGAAGUCAGUCGCGUUGUCUGGGACUCAGCCUUGCUUUUGCUUGGUGCACUUUCCGGAUGACGGGCCAGCAUCGAUUUUGACCGUCGGAAAAGGGCUAGGGUAAUGUGGCACCUCCGGGUGUGUUAUAGACUUUAGUCGCAUACGGCGGUCGGGAUCGAGGAACGCAGCGCGCCGUAAGGCAGGGGUUCGCCCACUUUCGCGCUUAGGAUGCUGGCGUAAUGGCUUUAAACGACCCGUCUUGAAACACGGACCAAGGAGUCUAACAUACCUGCGAGUGUUUGGGUGGAAAACCCGAGCGCGUAAUGAAAGUGAAAGUUGAGACCUCUGUCGUGGAGGGCAUCGACGCCCGGACCUGACGUUCUCUGACGGAUCCGCGGUAGAGCAUGUAUGUUGGGACCCGAAAGAUGGUGAACUAUGCCUGAAUAGGGUGAAGCCAGAGGAAACUCUGGUGGAGGCUCGUAGCGAUUCUGACGUGCAAAUCGAUCGUCAAAUUUGGGUAUAGGGGCGAAAGACUAAUCGAACCAUCUUGGUCCG